RNAcentral lists this ribosomal RNA (501 nucleotides) under uncultured bacterium. RNAcentral's name for it is "partial 16S ribosomal RNA". It matches the Rfam family "Bacterial small subunit ribosomal RNA", at positions 30 to 523 of the family's 1533-position model. The record is from RNAcentral.
AUUGAACGCUGGCGGCAUGCCUUACACAUGCAAGUCGAACGGUAGCACGGGUGCUUGCACCUGGUGGCGAGUGGCGAACGGGUGAGUAAUAUAUCGGAACGUACCUUAUUGUGGGGGAUAACGCAGCGAAAGCUGUGCUAAUACCGCAUAAUCCCUAAGGGGGAAAGCGGGGGACCGUAAGGCCUCGCGCAAUUAGAGCGGCCGAUACCUGAUUAGCUAGUUGGUGAGGUAAAGGCUCACUAAGGCAACGAUCAGUAGCUGGUCUGAGAGGACGAUCAGCCACACUGGGACUGAGACACGGCCCAGACUCCUACGGGAGGCAGCAGUGGGGAAUUUUGGACAAUGGGGGCAACCCUGAUCCAGCAAUGCCGCGUGAGUGAAGAAGGCCUUCGGGUUGUAAAGCUCUUUUGUCAGGGAAGAAACAGCAGCUCUAACACAGUUUGCGAAUGACGGUACCUGAAGAAUAAGCACCGGCUAACUACGUGCCAGCAGCCGCCGUAA